UAGGGAAUCUUCCACAAUGGACGCAAGUCUGAUGGAGCAACGCCGCGUGAGUGAAGAAGGUUUUCGGACCGUAAAGCUCUGUUGUUGGUGAAGAAGGAUAGAGGUAGUAACUGGCCUUUAUUUGACGGUAAUCAACCAGAAAGUCACGGCUAACUACGUGCCAGCAGCCGCGGUAAUACGUAGGUGGCAAGCGUUGUCCGGAUUUAUUGGGCGUAAAAGCGAGCGCAGGCGGAAGAAUAAGUCUGAUGUGAAAGCCCUCGGCUUAACCGAGGAAUUGCAUCGGAAACUGUUUUCUUGAGUGCAGAAGAGGAGAGUAGAACUCCAUGUGUAGCGGUGGAAUGCGUAGAUAUAUGGAAGAAUACCAGUGGCGAAGGCGGCUCUCUGGUCUGCAACUGACGCUGAGGCUCGAAAGCAUGGGUAGCGAACAGGAUUAGAUACCCUUGGUAGUCCAUGCCGUAAACGAUGAGUGCUAAGUGUUGGGAGGCUUCCGCCUCUCAGUGCUGCAGCUAACGCAUUAAGCACUCCGCCUGGGGGAGUACGACCGCAAGGUUGAAAC
Molecule: ribosomal RNA, 556 nt
Filed under: uncultured bacterium
Lineage: Bacteria
Description: partial 16S ribosomal RNA
Rfam family: Bacterial small subunit ribosomal RNA
Source: RNAcentral